This 251-nucleotide ribosomal RNA is filed under the name uncultured bacterium. RNAcentral describes it as "partial 16S ribosomal RNA". It matches the Rfam family "Bacterial small subunit ribosomal RNA", at positions 525 to 775 of the family's 1533-position model. The record is from RNAcentral.
ACGGAGGAUGCGAGCGUUAUCCGGAUUUAUUGGGUUUAAAGGGAGCGCAGACGGGAGAUUAAGUCAGUUGUGAAAGUUUGCGGCUCAACCGUAAAAUUGCAGUUGAUACUGGUUUCCUUGAGUGCAGUUGAGGCAGGCGGAAUUCGUGGUGUAGCGGUGAAAUGCUUAGAUAUCACGAAGAACCCCGAUUGCGAAGGCUGCUUGCUAAACUGUAACUGACGUUCAUGCUCGAAAGUGUGGGUAUCAAACAG